UCUUCCGUAGUAUAGUGGUCAGUAUGUGAGCUUGUCAACUAACAACGCUCGAGACCCGGGUUCAAUUCCCGGCGGGAGAG
This 80-nucleotide transfer RNA is filed under the name Collariella sp. IMI 366227. RNAcentral's name for it is "tRNA-Asp". It matches the Rfam family "tRNA". Rfam says of the family: Transfer RNA (tRNA) molecules are approximately 80 nucleotides in length. Their secondary structure includes four short double-helical elements and three loops (D, anti-codon, and T loops). Lineage: Eukaryota; Fungi; Ascomycota; Sordariomycetes; Sordariales; Chaetomiaceae. The record is from RNAcentral.